Coffea arabica (coffee) is the source of this 1173-nucleotide long non-coding RNA. RefSeq lists it as uncharacterized. The record is from RefSeq and is a predicted model, not a curated record. Lineage: Eukaryota; Viridiplantae; Streptophyta; Magnoliopsida; Gentianales; Rubiaceae.
CAUCAUUCUCUCUCCUGUUCCUUUUCUUUGCCAUCUUUCUCUUCCUUAGGCAGCAAGACUAACAAGUGAACCACAAAAUCCAUUUGGGUGUUUUGGCCUUCCUGCUCAUAAACUUUGACAGUGAAAUUAGCACAUGAAGAGAUAUCAUGAUCGUUAUCAUCUAUCGAUAGUUCGAAAGUCGCUGCUUAUGCAUUGUGGAGAAAGUUGGGCUUUUUCCUCUUCAACAUUGCUGCAAUACUCUAAGAUAUGGUUAUUCAUUACUUGGAUGCUCUUUCACGAGCUUCCUUUUCCAUUCAUUAAGGAGAAUGCUUGAUUUCUUUAUUUGCUUUGCAUCUCUAUGCCAUUAGAUGUUGGAUCUGUUUUUGAUAGUUCUGUGUGUACUUAGUUGUUGGGUUUUCGGCCACAAAUGACCAAAAGCAUUGCGUGGAAGAUAUUUGGCAAUGGAUGGACUAAAAUUGUAAGAGUUGUUUUAGGCAGGUAACGGGAAUUAAUUCAUGGUAAAUGAUCUACUUAUUUAGUGUUUUAAUAUUUGCCUUGCGUUAAUGCCUAGAUGUUUGAACAUCCAUUUAAGCCAUUGGCAAUUUGCGAUUGAUUAAGCAAAAUCUAUGCAAGCUUAAAAAAAUAUGUUUGCAACUCCUGUUUUUAAGUGCCAUGAGUCUCUAAUUAUUGAUUCUGUCUAACCGUAUAGAAAAAAGGAACUAAUAAAAUAGCUAUAUUUGCAUUACCAGAUUGCUAUAAGUAAGAGUAUCAUGCUAGAGAAGUCAAUGGAAUUCCUUCCCUAAGAUACUUGCAUCUUGUGUCUUACAUGUAUAUUAUAGUAUAACUCAUCCAAGAAUAGUCUACUUCUAUGCUGGGGAACAUUUAUGAUACUUGGAGAUUACUUUUGAUGUCAUUUUCUGAAGAUAACAUAAUACAACAGCUUUUUGCUGAUAUUUGUCACUCUCAGGUGCUCCAAGAGAGCUCUAACAUUUAUUUUUGCAGUAAAUUAUGGGAUUGUAUUAUUGUACCUUUUAGGUUGAUUAAUGGAAUUUUCAGAAGAUAACAUAAUAUUGCUUUUUGCUGAUAUUUGUCACUCUCAGGUGCUCCAAGAGAGCUCUAACAUUUAUUUUUGCAGUGAAUUAUGGGAUUGUAUUAUUGUACCUUUUAGGUUGAUUAAUGGAUGCUUCUUACUCU